This is a long non-coding RNA of Solea solea (common sole), 2044 nucleotides long. RefSeq lists it as uncharacterized. NCBI's taxonomy places the organism in Eukaryota, Metazoa, Chordata, Actinopteri, Pleuronectiformes, Soleidae. The record is from RefSeq and is a predicted model, not a curated record. The transcript is spliced from 3 exons.
CAGUGGAAGAGGACAGUGAUUAUUACUGUGUUGCCAGGAAUGACAUUAGCACUCAGGAGAGUGAACCCCUCUCUGUGCAGGUUCUCACGCCUGCACAGAGAGACUGUAUCUAUGUCGUGAAUAUGCAGGACCAACCCAUUUAUGACUGCAUAGACAGAAUGAGCACCACCAUGGCCUCAACGUCACCGGUGGCACCUUAUGAAGUGACAAUCCACUCCACCACAAGAAACCAGUCUUUACAAAUCAACCAAACUACUCAAGAUCCACUUGUAAACAGCGCAAGUCGAUGGCUGCCACUGUGGUAUACGUUACUACGCUGGGGCUCUUUAACAUCUGUGCUGAUAUUUCUGUGUAUAGUUCUUACAUAUACAAAAACAAGAAAACCCAAGAGGAGGAAAACGGUACAUUUCAAGCAAAUGGCCCACUUGGCUCAGUGACCUGCAUUUCACAAUGGCAGGUUUUUGAAAGCAAUAUCAGCCAGGGUCAUUGGUUCUUGUUUACCAAGAUGCUUUGCUAUUAAGUAAACAGCCUGUGAAGGGCCCUAAUGUCAGCAAGUUAAUUUGGGUUUCUUAUUCCAGCAUUUAACAAUACCGAUUUCUUGAGUUGGUUUGUUGGUGUUGUUGUUUUAUGGUAGUUGGCCCCCUUAUUGUUACGUUAUUGCCUCCUCCUUUUAUCCUUCCCCUUAUUUAUUUAUUUCAUGUCACAACUAUAACAUAGAAAUAAUUCAGCUGCCAGGUGUUAAAGUAGAGCAAAGAGACAUAAUCACAUUACUCCUGUUUUAGCAUCUUUAUACAAGCUCUGAGUAUGUCUCAGAAGUAAUGUACAUUUUUUUUACAAAUCACUUUUAAAGCUCUUCAAAACCUAGCUCUUGUUAUAUGUUAUAGUGUCUGAGCUUAUCCUCCUGACUUACACCUUUUGUUUAAACUUAAGCUUUCUUAUUUGGGAAUUUGAAUAUUUACAGUAGUGUAGAACUUUCUAGCAGUCUUUCAUUCUAUUUAUCUGUUCAUUGUUGGAAUUGGUAUCAAAGCACCGUUGCCUUUAAAGUGCCUUUAAGGUGCAUUGUCAAAGCCAUCUUAUGUUAUAUAUGACCUUCGUAUGUGCCUUUGUAAGUGGCUUCGUAAAUCUAUCUAUCAUCAGAACCUGUACGACUUGUCGGUUUUACAACCUGACUAAUGUCUAACUAACUAGUUAGUAGCUAACAAGAUGCUGUCUAACUGACUAAUGUCUAACUAACUUCUAACUAAUAACUGUCUAACUAACUAACUAACUACUGACCCUCUAACUACUAACUAACUGCUAUUUAACUGUGAAUGUGGAAUAAACCUUCAGAAAGACAGUCGAGUUGUGCCCGCCGUACUUGUUCUGGUUACCCUUUCCAGAAGGGAGUAUUGAGCUGAAAGGAUCAACCAGCAGAAAUCUGGACAAGUAGUAUUUUUAUUUUUAUUUCAAUUGUUCGACUUAUAAUCCCCAUUGUGUUCUGGAUUUUAAAAGAUGCUGACCCUAUAUGAUGAUAUUAUACUAUUAUUGUUGUUGUUGUUGUUAUUGUUUGAUGCACUGUGAAGAUAAUUGGAUUUCACAAACAAAUGUACUCCUUUUUCAUUCCAUUCUUCAGUUAGACCAUAUCAUGUUACACUAUUGUACUUUCAAAAACAGAAAUGCAAAAAACCACACACUCUCCAUUAUAAUCAACCCCAAUAAUGGUUGUGAGGAAGUAGACGCUGGGAAACAAUUAAGUGGGCUUUAUUCUGGAUAAAUACGUGAACAUGAUUGGGGCAAGGUCCAUCAUCAUAAAGCUAUGUGAUACAGGAUGAAUAAUGAAUGAGUGUAAACCAGUUACAGGUAUAAAACAGGGUGUGUGGAAUUACAUCAUGAGUCAUGCAGGCCAACAUGAAUGAGGAUUGUUUCAACAUAAUGCAACAAUGCAAAUACGUCACCCACUUUUUGUCAACUCAUCUCUUGUACAAACAAUGGAAUUUUUUCAUGAAAUAUUAAUAUGCUGUAUUGUUAUUUAGAUAAAAGACAAUUUGACUUACAGAGAAAUAUU